UACGAAGGGGGCGAGCGUUGUUCGGAUUUACUGGGCGUAAAGGGCGCGCAGGCGGUUCUGUUUGUCGAGUGUGAAAGCCCCGGGCUCAACCUGGGAACUGCGCUCGAAACGGCGGAACUAGAGUUCGGGAGAGGAGAGUGGAAUUCCCAGUGUAGAGGUGAAAUUCGUAGAUAUUGGGAAGAACACCAGUGGCGAAGGCGGCUCACUGGUCCGGUACUGACGCUGAGGUGCGAAAGCGUGGGGAGCAAACAGG
This 253-nucleotide ribosomal RNA is filed under the name uncultured bacterium. RNAcentral's name for it is "partial 16S ribosomal RNA". It matches the Rfam family "Bacterial small subunit ribosomal RNA", at positions 524 to 776 of the family's 1533-position model. The record is from RNAcentral.